GAGCGCAACCCUCGUCCCUAUGUUGCCAGCGGGUCAUGCCGGGGACUCAUGGGAGACUGCCGGGGUCAACGUCGGAGGAAGGUGGGGAUGACGUCAAAUCAUCAUGCCCCGUUAUGUCUUGGGCUUCACGCAUGCUACAAUGGCCGGUACAAAGGGCUGCGAUACCGCGAGGUGGAGCGAAUCCCAGAAAGCCGGUCUCAGUUCGGAUUGGGGUCUGCAACUCGACCCCAUGAAGUCGGAGUCGCUAGUAAUCGCGGAUCAGCACGCCGCGGUGAAUACGUUCCCGGGCCUU
Molecule: ribosomal RNA, 292 nt
Filed under: uncultured Cellulomonas sp.
Lineage: Bacteria; Bacillati; Actinomycetota; Actinomycetes; Micrococcales; Cellulomonadaceae
Description: partial 16S ribosomal RNA
Rfam family: Bacterial small subunit ribosomal RNA
Source: RNAcentral